CAAUAUAGAGCUUGAAAAGCGUUUUAUUUACAUUAAAAAGAUAUUUGUUAAUUCAAUUUAUAUUGA
Molecule: transfer RNA, 66 nt
Filed under: Cryptolaemus montrouzieri
Lineage: Eukaryota; Metazoa; Arthropoda; Insecta; Coleoptera; Coccinellidae
Description: tRNA-Val
Source: RNAcentral